Salmo salar (Atlantic salmon) is the source of this 2062-nucleotide non-coding RNA. The record is from RefSeq and is a predicted model, not a curated record. NCBI's taxonomy places the organism in Eukaryota, Metazoa, Chordata, Actinopteri, Salmoniformes, Salmonidae.
UCUGAGGCUUACCUAGCCUUUUUACCCUCUCAAAUUUGGACUAUUCGUAUGCAUCAUUUCACAGUAUUUUAACCCACACACUGAACAUGCUCCAAAACAACUGUUGUGGCCUGAGAUUUCAAAAUGAGAAGCCGUCCCGUAACUGUGUGGAUUAGAAUGUGAGUCACUUAGUUGAAUCCUUAUCACCCCCACCCCUGCCGUUUCCUUCCUGCAAGUCCUAUCAAAAUGAGGAAACAACAACUUCAAUGCAUUAUAUAAACCUGCUUAUUCUAUUCGUAAUAUAGCUGCAGUCUAGAUGUUAAAGCAUAUCCACAUCUGUAAUUGGGAUUUAACUGCACUCAUUUGAGUAAUGUGCUGGAGAGAUCCAAACCACUGCAACUAGCAUCCACACCUGAUAAAACCAUGCAGCUUGGAGGCAGCACCUCAUGGAUGUAAGACAAGUUACCCUCUCUCUGAGUAAAGGAAGCAAGAUGUCACUCACCCGGAUGGCAAAGGCGAUGACAGUGACAGCCAGACCAUAGAUGAUGGUGACCCAGAACCCCAGCACCCAUACCCAAGCAGGGACACCAUCAUCUCCAGAGCCUUCACAUCCCACAGUCUUCCUUGCCUGGCACUGGAGAGCUGACCAACCAAUCAAAGAGAGAGAUAGAUAUGUUAUGGUGAAGCUGACCACAGAUGGUGUCUAGAUGUAUGGAAGGGAUCAUUUGCCCAAGAACAGGCUGAACCUCAGCCCCCCCCCCCAAACCGGCUGAAGCAAUGGCGAAAAUGCCGUUCAGUAUGCUUCUUCACCACUUCUACAGUGAGACCUGAGUCCGAGCCAGCAACCUGUACACAGCAUCCAGUCGAAGCUAUCAACUGCCUUUUCUCUCAUGCCUUUUCUCUCAGAAGUGCGACAUGGGUCCACGUGGAGUGAGCAUGGAGUGGGAUCCCAUCCAAAUGUCUCUCAUGCUGCUGGUGUACUGGUAAGAAAAUGAACAACACACAAUGGACUGUAAAGGACAGUGGCGUCUCAGGUGAGAGACAUUAUCAAGGGCCAUCCACUUUGAACAUGUGCCAUUGGGAAGACGAACUGAAACACUAUCUGAAGAAAAACAUGAAGAAACGCCAGGAAAGGAAGAAUGAGUGCCGUGAAGGGGGUGGGGGAGGGAGGUGGCCUUAAAUUUAGGCUUAUCCAAAAUUGUUUACUUGGGGUAUCAGGUUGAUUGUGGAGGUCUGCACACUGUGAAAUGUUAAGUAAUUUAGACUAAGAAUGCAUUGAAAUACCAAUCUGUCAUUACCACAAAUGGGGGCCAUGACGAGAAAAGUUAAUGCUGGGAAAAUAAGUUCAAUGUACAUUCUGCCAGUGUCGGUGUGUGCUAAGUUGAGGGUCAUAAAUUAAAGUGAUAGAACCAACGUGAAGCACUAAGGACUGUCAUUCUAAAUUUGGGUUGGAUCCUUUAUCAAUAGUUAUAAUUAUGAUUUGGAAAGGCGAGGCUUCUAGAGACAGAGAUGUGCCCUAAAAUGUGAGGAGAGCCACUAGAUUGUAGCUUGGGCUAACCUUGCCCCAAUCUCAUUCUUAUCAAGGUUGGUGUGAAACUGUUAUAACGUGUUCUCUCUCUUCACUGUGAAAUGUUAUUAACAUGCUGUAUGGCGAUCUGUGCCUCUCUGGCUGAUAAUAUUUCAGCAGCUAUUAUGUUUUCUGCUCCUCCAGAAGAUGGUGAAACUAAUGAGCUGCCAACUCUGGAUGAGCUCCUAUUUCCCCUUGUAGAUACAAAAGAUGAAUAAUGAUUGAAGGUUGUUUUCGUUUAACAAGAAUUGUUAAACGACAGGGUUUUAUAUUUUGACUAAGUUGAUGUCCCAGAGACAGUUAGUUAAAAACAGGUAAAUCCAACCCGAUUGUGGUAAGAUAUGGAAACAAUGGUUAACAUUGUGAGAUUUAUUCACCUCUCAAUCUACAGAUCCCUUGUGUAUGUGUGUGUAUUUUUGAUACUCACUCCCAUUAAUAGAAGUAUAACCUUUAUUGGGAUUAUAGUAUUACCAUACUAAUUGGAUUGUACAACCCAGAAUGAAGGGUUUGAAAUGA